This 587-nucleotide ribosomal RNA is filed under the name uncultured bacterium. RNAcentral describes it as "partial 16S ribosomal RNA". It matches the Rfam family "Bacterial small subunit ribosomal RNA", at positions 355 to 1375 of the family's 1533-position model. The record is from RNAcentral.
UGGGGAAUUUUGGACAAUGGGCGAAAGCCUGAUCCAGCAAUGCCGCGUGUGUGAAGAAGGCCUUCGGGUUGUAAAGCACUUUUGUCCGGAAAGAAAUCCUUGGCUCUAAUACAGUCGGGGGAUGACGGUACCGGAAGAAUAAGCACCGGCUAACUACGUGCCAGCAGCCGCGGUAAUACGUAGGGUGCAAGCGUUAAUCGGAAUUACUGGGCGUAAAGCGUGCGCAGGCGGUUUGCUAAGACCGAUGUGAAAUCCCCGGGCUCAACCUGGGAACUGCAUUGGUGACUGGCAGGCUAGAGUAUGGCAGAGGGGGGUAGAAUUCCACGUGUAGCAGUGAGAUGCGUAGAGAUGUGGAGGAAUACCGAUGGCGAAGGCAGCCCCCUGGGCCAAUACUGACGCUCAUGCACGAAAGCGUGGGGAGCAAAACAGGAUUAGAUACCCUGGUAGUCCACGCCCUAAAACGAUGUCAACUAGUUGUUGGGGAUUCAUUUCCUUAGUAACGUAGCUAACGCGUGAAGUUGACCGCCUGGGGAGUACGGUCGCAAGAUUAAAACUUAAAUGAAUUGACGGGGUCAUAGCUGUUUCCU